GGAAGUUAAAAGUCGUAACAAGGUCUCCGUUGGUGAACCAGCGGAGGGAUCAUUACAGAGUUGCAAAACUCCCAAACCAUCGUGAACAUGCCCUAUAUCGUUGCUUAUCGGGGUGGCUCGGCCUCGGCCCAUGCCUAGGCCCCUCUCAUGCCCCCGCCGGAGGUCUACCAAACUCUUGAAUUUACAUGGCCUCUCUGAGUCUUCUGUACUGAAUAAGUCAAAACUUUCAACAAUGGAUCUAUGCUCUCUGGCAUCGAUGAAGAACGCAGCGAAAUGCGAUAAGUAAUGUGAAUGCCUCGUGAUAGUCGUCGUCGAAUCUUUGAACGCACAAUGCUCGUCGCCAGUAUUCUAGCUCGCUCGUAGUAGUCGAGUGGCGGGCUCGCUGUCCACACCGAGCGUAGUAGCAUAUCUUUGUCUCGCUCAGGGCGUGCGGCGGGUUCCGGCCGUGAAACCCACCUUCUCGAAGGUACCCAAAGGUUGACCUCGGAUCAGGUAGGAAGACCCGCUGAACUUAAGCAUAUCAAUAAGCGGAGGAAUGGGCGCCUGAUAGUGCUCGCUGAAUGCCGCGC
RNAcentral lists this ribosomal RNA (569 nucleotides) under uncultured fungus. RNAcentral describes it as "eukaryotic LSU rRNA". The stretch from base 222 to 376 matches the Rfam family "5.8S ribosomal RNA". Lineage: Eukaryota; Fungi. The record is from RNAcentral.